UAUGACUGAGAGUAUUCCACUUUGUGUUUUUUCCAUAGUUUCCAUAGUUUUUCAAGGUGAAAAAUGAAGCUGUUGCCAAACAGCUUUCCCAUAUUGGUAUUGCAAGUGAGUUGGUGUCUGUCUCAAAAUUGGAUAUAUAAACAGGCAAUGCCACAUCUGAAGAAGCUAUGAUGUCAUGCUACUUAGUGCUCUCUCUGUCAAAGACUGUCAGGCUGCAGUUCCAUUAGACUCCAACCAGGCCCAGAUGAAGAAUGAGCUCUUUGCUGUGCACUGACCACAGCCCAGUCAGAGCCACUGAAGUAUCCUAUUCAUCAUUUGCUCAGGGAUAGACACACAGUUUUUUUGGAGAUUUCCCCACAGAAAUACUCAGUCACGUCUGAAAAGUGAAUUUCACCAGUAUCUGUCUGCUGCUUUGUUUGCCUCCAACCAUUAUUUGGUUUGUCCCAGUCUAGUGAGCACCUUUUGACACCCCCCAAGCCUCUCAAUUCAUCUGAGGGCCUAUCCUGCUACCAAUGAAAACCAAGUGGCAACAGCUGUUUUUGACCAAAACCAUGACAAUAAAAUGUG
Molecule: long non-coding RNA, 567 nt
Organism: Oreochromis niloticus (Nile tilapia)
Lineage: Eukaryota; Metazoa; Chordata; Actinopteri; Cichliformes; Cichlidae
Exons: 4
Source: RefSeq, a predicted model, not a curated record